RNAcentral lists this long non-coding RNA (406 nucleotides) under Mus pahari (shrew mouse). RNAcentral describes it as "predicted gene 15976 (MGP_PahariEiJ_G0002408.1)". Lineage: Eukaryota; Metazoa; Chordata; Mammalia; Rodentia; Muridae. The record is from RNAcentral.
GGGAAGAGGAGUCCUUUGUGCUGUAGUCCUGUUGGGGUCUCUGGGAAAAUGCAGAGGAAGGUCCUUUUUCAGGCGGCCCUGGGCCUGCUGCCACUGACACGGAGUCCUGACUUUGUGCCACUCUUCCUUCACAUCUUGGGACCAAACCCCAGGAAGGGCAAAAGGGCCGGGGCUCAAAGGCCUCGCUGCCCAGGCCGCCGGCCUGAGUCUGACCCCUAGAACUCACAGUGUAAGGGGGAGACUCUGACCUCUGCACCUGCACUGUGCGUGCCUGACACGCCCCAACUCCCGAGAAAGAACAUGAUGGAAAAAAAAAAUUAAACCCAGGAUAAGUUCCUAAAGAAACUUUCAUGAAGAAAAUAUAAUUUCAAUACAGUGACAAUAUAGUCAAAAGACAUAAACUUUA